CAGCCACAUGAGGACAUCACUGAGGUCUCAGACCUAUCUGCGGAGGUAGCUAGACUGCGAGGAGUCUUGGAGAGUGAGUUUGAUUUUCUGAGGAGAGAGAUUAGAGGCUCCAGUGAGCAUGCUUCCACUCAAUUCACUGCACUGCUACAAUCUAUUUCGAGAGCCUUAAACCUUCUGGACACUAUCAGACUAUCACUUGUAGCACAGUCCUUUGCUUCACAGCCUUCAGGAUCCUCUCACC
RNAcentral lists this long non-coding RNA (241 nucleotides) under Elaeis guineensis (African oil palm). Its description in RNAcentral is "long non-coding RNA (EGUI_LNC066332)". The record is from RNAcentral. Lineage: Eukaryota; Viridiplantae; Streptophyta; Magnoliopsida; Arecales; Arecaceae.